This is a long non-coding RNA of Glycine soja, 1306 nucleotides long. RefSeq lists it as uncharacterized. The record is from RefSeq and is a predicted model, not a curated record. The transcript is spliced from 3 exons. Lineage: Eukaryota; Viridiplantae; Streptophyta; Magnoliopsida; Fabales; Fabaceae.
UUUUUUUACGACUUUAAUCGUUACACAGUUAUAUCCCUUAAAAAAUAAAUCUGAUUUCUAUACAUGCUUUCUUCAGUUUGAAGCUCUUGUUGAGAAUUUUUUGACAGGAAAAUUAAGGUGUUUCAAUUUGAUGGUGGUGGUGAAUUCACUUCAAAUGAAUUCUCCAAUCACCUUGCUCAUUGCGGUGUCUAAUCAAAUAUUGUGUCGUCACACACCAGAACAAAAUGGUCUUGCGGGGCGCAAACAUCAACAUAGUGUUGAAACAUGAUUCACUUUACUUUUCAUGCUAAUGUUCCUUUAAAAUUUCAGGUUGAUGCUUUUUAACUGCUAUUUACCUUAUAAAUCGAUUCCCGCUCUCCUCUACGGAAUGAAGGUUGUCUCUAUUGCUGAAGACCCUAUGGAUGAAACGCACACCUACUUCAGUCCCCUCUUCCCCAACCUCUACAUCCAUACCCAAUCCAAACCUAAACAAUAUAUCCCUUCAUCACCUAAUGACGUUAUUUCCCAACCCGUCCCACCACCAACACGACAUACUCGAGAGACAUGACCUCCAUCAUACCCAAUAAAAGACUAUAUAUGUUUGCCCUUCUCUCGCUAACCUAUCUACAUCCCAUGAUGCCCUUUUGAAGAACCUAAAAUCUACAGAAUUGCUUAUAAAACCUAUAGGUUUUGCUCAUCCACAACUCCCUAAUCAUGUGUGCCAACUUCAUAAAUCUCUCUAUGGGCUUAAACAAGCUCCACGUGCAUGCUUUGAAAAGAUUGUGCAGGUUGCCCUACAACUAGGAGAAGCACCACUGGUUUUCGCAUCUUUUUUCAACCACAUUGUAUAUCACGGGCCUCAAAGAAACAACCUACUGUAUCUCAUUCAACUGUUGAAGCUGAAUAUUGAGCCUUAACAACCACCGGUUCAUAACUUACAUGGCUUCAAUAUUUACUACAUGACCUUGGCAUCCAACUUGAAUGUCGCCCAAUAAUUUUUUGUGACAAUCAAAGGGCCAUUCACAUGUCUCACAACCUUGUCUUCCAUGCCCGUACCAAACACUAUCACUUCAUCAGAGAAAAAGUUACCGUCGAUUCUCUCUGACUUCGCUACCUGCCAACUACUUUGCCAAAGGACUCUUUUUCCACUAUUUGUUCCAAACUUGGCGUUCGUUCUCUAUCAAUGCCAGGGGUGUGUGUGACAAGAAUCAUGUCUUAACUACAACAACAAAUCAAGCAAAGAAUCAUGUAAUGAUUAUAAAUCUUUCGAAGAAAACCUUAUUAAAUGCACAACAUUGAUUCAUGGGAUCAAAACAAAUAUAUCAUC